RNAcentral lists this microRNA precursor (205 nucleotides) under Oryza meridionalis. RNAcentral's name for it is "MIR812 microRNA precursor family". It matches the Rfam family "MIR812 microRNA precursor family". The record is from Rfam by way of RNAcentral. Lineage: Eukaryota; Viridiplantae; Streptophyta; Magnoliopsida; Poales; Poaceae.
AAAAAGAGACAAACCUGAGUUUCCAUGUCCAACGUUUGACCGUCCGUUUUAUUUAAAAAAAUAUGAAAAAAAUAAAAAGACAAAUCACGCAUAAAGUACUAAUCAUGUUUUAUCAUCUAACAGCAAUAAAAAUACUAAUUAUAAAAAAAUUUCAUAUAAGACGGACAGUUAAAUGUUGGACACGAAAACCAGGGUUUGUCUUUUU